AAGAAAACCAGCAUUUAAUAAAUUAUUCAGUGGUAUCAUAAGACAUACUCAAAUUUCCCCAGUUAUCCCUAAAAUAUUCUUCAAUUCUGGAUCCGAUCAAGUUUCACCUGUUACAUUUGGCGAUAAUAUCUUUUUAGUUGGUAGCUGUUGAUUUAGAAGUGGCCUCUUCCUCUUUCUGCUCUUCACAGUAUGGACUCCUUUGAGGAGCACUGCCAGAUGUUCGGUAUCCUAGCUUCACCGGAUUAUUUCCUGGUCAUGUUCAGGCCCUAAAUUUCUAGAAAAUCUCACAGAUGCUCACCUAAUAGUUUUUAAGUAAUGAUAGAUUACUUAAGUAGAGAACUGGGAAAUUUUCCUUUGUCAGUCAGAAUAGAAUUUUUUUGAAAUCUAGAUUCCUCCUGAUUUAUUUCUUAAUUGUUAAAGAUACAAUAAAAAAUUCAUUGCUCUUCAUCCCUCAUUUUCACUUUAAAGACAGCAAGUGGAUCUAAAAGCAAUUAUAAUUUUAUAUAUAUGAAUUAUUUAUCAUCACCUAAGGUAGAUAAAAUAUUUUAUAGAAUACUCUUAUAUACUCUUAUAUGUUAAGAUCUAACUUUUAGACUUUAUUUUUAUUCUUUCAAUGGUAUACAAAGUAUAAAUCCAAGCCAUUCUGUGAAAAACUGCUUUCCUGGGUGAAAAGUAGUAACUGUGCCAAAGUUAUUGUUCUUUCAAGCAGUCAUUCAUAUCACCGUAAUGAUCUCCAGCUUCGCAGUACUCCCUUCAGAUACCUACUCACACCUUUUGUGCAAAAAAGUGUGCAAACUAAAAUAAUGAGCCUUAACUGGGAAGAAAUG
This is a long non-coding RNA of Ailuropoda melanoleuca (giant panda), 827 nucleotides long. RefSeq lists it as uncharacterized. The transcript is spliced from 2 exons. Lineage: Eukaryota; Metazoa; Chordata; Mammalia; Carnivora; Ursidae. The record is from RefSeq and is a predicted model, not a curated record.